GAUGAACGCUAGCGGCAGGCUUAACACAUGCAAGUCGAGGGGCAGCGCGGGAUAGCAAUAUCCUGGCGGCGACCGGCGGAAGGGUGCGUAACGCGUGAGCGACAUGCCCGUUGCCCGGGGACAACCGGUGGAAACGCCGACUAAUCCCCGAUGGGAUAUUGUGCCGCAUGGCACGAUAUUGAAAGUUACGGCGGCGACGGAUUGGCUCGCGUCCGAUUCGCUUGUUGGCGGGGUAACGGCCCACCAAGGCUGCGAUCGGUAGGGGCUCUGAGAGGAAGGCCCCCCGCAAUGGGAAUGAGACACGGCCCGUACUCCUACGGGAGGAGGCAGUGAGGAAUAUUAGUCAAUGGGAGGAAGGCUGAACCAGCCAUGCCGCGUGCGAGAAGGAGGCCCUAUGGGCUGUGAACCGCUUUUGCCUGGGGGCAAUAAGGGCGUCGCGCACGUCCGAUGAGAGUACCAGGCGAAUAAGCAUCGGCUAACUCCGUG
RNAcentral lists this ribosomal RNA (486 nucleotides) under uncultured bacterium. RNAcentral describes it as "partial 16S ribosomal RNA". It matches the Rfam family "Bacterial small subunit ribosomal RNA", at positions 28 to 507 of the family's 1533-position model. The record is from RNAcentral.